Molecule: long non-coding RNA, 218 nt
Organism: Pundamilia nyererei
Lineage: Eukaryota; Metazoa; Chordata; Actinopteri; Cichliformes; Cichlidae
Exons: 3
Source: RefSeq, a predicted model, not a curated record
AGAAGAAGAAGAAGAAAAAGAAGAAGAAGGACUCCAGCUCCUCUUCUUCUGAUAGCGAGGAUGACAAGAAGAAAAAGAAGAAGAAAAAAGACAAGAAGAAGAAGAAAAAGAAGAAAGUAUUCCCUGUGUUUCUUAAUUUUCAAGACUCCAGCUCCUCGUCUUCUGAUAGCUCUUCUUCUUCAUCCUCUUCUGACAGUGAGGAUGACAAGAUGAAAAAG